UUGAAAAGUUCAAACCCUACGUAGCUGAGGCUUUUGUAAAAGCUUCGGAAUCUGAAAACAUACUUGUAGUUCGUUCAAUCAAAGAGACUUCGUUGUACAGGAAAACAGCAUAAUACAUGCUAUCAAGGCAUCAAUGGCAUACAUUUCAGGCAUUCUCUACAAAGCCAGGAUCGAAAGAAUUGCAACAAUAACAAACGAAGAGAUGGGGUAGAUAAUGAACAAAGAAUUACAUCAGGGGAUCGCAGGAUUUAGUUAUGUCUCACGUUUGCGCUGCGGAUGGU
Musa acuminata AAA Group (dessert banana) is the source of this 281-nucleotide long non-coding RNA. RefSeq lists it as uncharacterized. Lineage: Eukaryota; Viridiplantae; Streptophyta; Magnoliopsida; Zingiberales; Musaceae. The transcript is spliced from 3 exons. The record is from RefSeq and is a predicted model, not a curated record.